AAAUUGAAGAGUUUGAUCAUGGCUCAGAUUGAACGCUGGCGGCAGGCCUAACACAUGCAAGUCGAACGGUAACAGGAAGCAGCUUGCUGCUUUGCUGACGAGUGGCGGACGGGUGAGUAAUGUCUGGGAAACUGCCCGAUGGAGGGGGAUAACUACUGGAAACGGUGGCUAAUACCGCAUAACGUCGCAAGACCAAAGAGGGGGACCUUCGGGCCUCUUGCCAUCAGAUGUGCCCAGAUGGGAUUAGCUUGUUGGUGAGGUAACGGCUCACCAAGGCGACGAUCCCUAGCUGGUCUGAGAGGAUGACCAGCCACACUGGAACUGAGACACGGUCCAGACUCCUACGGGAGGCAGCAGUGGGGAAUAUUGCACAAUGGGCGCAAGCCUGAUGCAGCCAUGCCGCGUGUAUGAAGAAGGCCUUCGGGUUGUAAAGUACUUUCAGCGGGGAGGAAGGUGUUGUGGUUAAUAACCGCAGCAAUUGACGUUACCCGCAGAAGAAGCACCGGCUAACUCCGUGCCAGCAGCCGCGGUAAUACGGAGGGUGCAAGCGUUAAUCGGAAUUACUGGGCGUAAAGCGCACGCAGGCGGUCUGUCAAGUCGGAUGUGAAAUCCCCGGGCUCAACCUGGGAACUGCAUUCGAAACUGGCAGGCUUGAGUCUUGUAGAGGGGGGUAGAAUUCCAGGUGUAGCGGUGAAAUGCGUAGAGAUCUGGAGGAAUACCGGUGGCGAAGGCGGCCCCCUGGACAAAGACUGACGCUCAGGUGCGAAAGCGUGGGGAGCAAACAGGAUUAGAUACCCUGGUAGUCCACGCCGUAAACGAUGUCUACUUGGAGGUUGUGCCCUUGAGGCGUGGCUUCCGGAGCUAACGCGUUAAGUAGACCGCCUGGGGAGUACGGCCGCAAGGUUAAAACUCAAAUGAAUUGACGGGGGCCCGCACAAGCGGUGGAGCAUGUGGUUUAAUUCGAUGCAACGCGAAGAACCUUACCUGGUCUUGACAUCCACGGAAGUUUUCAGAGAUGAGAAUGUGCCUUCGGGAACCGUGAGACAGGUGCUGCAUGGCUGUCGUCAGCUCGUGUUGUGAAAUGUUGGGUUAAGUCCCGCAACGAGCGCAACCCUUAUCCUUUGUUGCCAGCGGUCCGGCCGGGAACUCAAAGGAGACUGCCAGUGAUAAACUGGAGGAAGGUGGGGAUGACGUCAAGUCAUCAUGGCCCUUACGACCAGGGCUACACACGUGCUACAAUGGCGCAUACAAAGAGAAGCGACCUCGCGAGAGCAAGCGGACCUCAUAAAGUGCGUCGUAGUCCGGAUUGGAGUCUGCAACUCGACUCCAUGAAGUCGGAAUCGCUAGUAAUCGUGGAUCAGAAUGCCACGGUGAAUACGUUCCCGGGCCUUGUACACACCGCCCGUCACACCAUGGGAGUGGGUUGCAAAAGAAGUAGGUAGCUUAACCUUCGGGAGGGCGCUUACCACUUUGUGAUUCAUGACUGGGGUGAAGUCGUAACAAGGUAACCGUAGGGGAACCUGCGGUUGGAUCACCUCCUUA
This 1542-nucleotide ribosomal RNA is filed under the name Salmonella enterica. RNAcentral describes it as "bacterial SSU rRNA". It matches the Rfam family "Bacterial small subunit ribosomal RNA". Lineage: Bacteria; Pseudomonadati; Pseudomonadota; Gammaproteobacteria; Enterobacterales; Enterobacteriaceae. RNAcentral also lists the same sequence under 3 other names. The record is from RNAcentral.